This 206-nucleotide ribosomal RNA is filed under the name uncultured bacterium. RNAcentral's name for it is "partial 16S ribosomal RNA". It matches the Rfam family "Bacterial small subunit ribosomal RNA", at positions 568 to 774 of the family's 1533-position model. The record is from RNAcentral.
UGCGUAGGUGGUUGUUUAAGUCUGUUGUGAAAGCCCCGGGCUCAACCUGGGAAUGGCAAUGGAUACUGGACAGCUAGAGUGCGGUAGAGGGUAGUGGAAUUCCCGGUGUAGCAGUGAAAUGCGUAGAGAUCGGGAGGAACACCAGUGGCGAAGGCGGCUACCUGGACCAGCACUGACACUGAAGCACGAAAGCGUGGGAGCAAACA